GAUGAACGCUGGCGGCGUGCCUAAUACAUGCAAGUCGAGCGAACGGACGAGGAGCUUGCUUCUCUGAUGUUAGCGGCGGACGGGUGAGUAACACGUGGAUAACCUACCUAUAAGACUGGGAUAACUUCGGGAAACCGGAGCUAAUACCGGAUAAUAUUUUGAACCGCAUGGUUCAAAAGUGAAAGACGGUUUUGCUGUCACUUAUACAUGGAUCCGCGCCGCAUUAGCUAGUUGGUAAGGUAACGGCUUACCAAGGCAACGAUGCAUAGCCGACCUGAGAGGGUGAUCGGCCACACUGGAACUGAGACACGGUCCAGACUCCUACGGGAGGCAGCAGUAGGGAAUCUUCCGCAAUGGGCGAAAGCCUGACGGAGCAACGCCGCGUGAGUGAUGAAGGUCUUCGGAUCGUAAAACUCUGUUAUUAGGGAAGAACAUAUGUGUAAGUAACUGUGCACAUCUUGACGGUACCUAAUCAGAAAGCCACGGCUAACUACGUG
This 497-nucleotide ribosomal RNA is filed under the name uncultured bacterium. RNAcentral describes it as "partial 16S ribosomal RNA". It matches the Rfam family "Bacterial small subunit ribosomal RNA", at positions 28 to 507 of the family's 1533-position model. The record is from RNAcentral.